AACCUAAUGGCUUUUAAUUCCCAAAUGAAGGACAGAUAAGUUGACAAUUGACAAGGGGCAGAUCUUCCUGGGGCUUUGUUUGUAGCUAGCAGUGACCUGAGAUACUGGCAGGCAGUUUGUACUGGGGGUUCCACACUCCUGGAACCGUGAAACUGCGGAACGGCACAGAUGUCUGGCUGUUCUUCCUAGCAGUAAGAAGCCACUGCACCAGAAAGGCUACCUACGUGUUGGAGUAUGGGGUAGGUUUGUCUGAAGGAAUUCAGCAUGAUGAUGUGACUGAUCUAUGAUGGUCCCGUGUGCCCCCUGCCAUUUAAAUCCUGAUGGACGUAUAUCCCCACCACUAGAUAUGAAAUGGGGUUAGGAAUUUUGCUCUUCUUUCUCACGCUUUUAUGAGCAGCAUCUACCUCCAGGUGAGAAUUCACGUUGUAUGUACUAGCCAGGCAAUGAGUAGAGCAACUCAGCAUCGUCACUGUAGGUUUCUGUGAGCAUGCAGGGUGGGAGGGUGGCAGGGGCUGCUGGAGCUGGGCUGUUACCUUGGGAAUGGGGCAGCUGUAUAGACACAUAGGCUUAAGAACCAUGGCAUGGUGACCUCCGCUACCCAUAAAGUAAUUAAACAACAAAUACAGAUUUAACCAGUAUUAGAUAAUAAAUCAAGAGGAACUAGACUAAUUAUAUGGUGU
This 680-nucleotide long non-coding RNA is filed under the name Anas platyrhynchos platyrhynchos (common mallard). RNAcentral's name for it is "lncRNA (ENSAPLG00000018350.1)". Lineage: Eukaryota; Metazoa; Chordata; Aves; Anseriformes; Anatidae. The record is from RNAcentral.